CCUACGGGGGGCAGCAGUGGGGGAUAUUGCACAAUGGGGGAAACCCUGAUGCAGCGACGCCGCGUGAGUGAAGAAGUAUUUCGGUAUGUAAAGCUCUAUCAGCAGGGAAGAAAAUGAAAGUACCUGACCAAGAAGCCCCGGCUAACUACGUGCCAGCGGCCGCGGUAAUACGGAGGGGGCAAGCGUUAUCCGGAUUUACUGGGUGUUAAGGGGGCGUAGGCGGUUAUGUAAGUCUGGAGUGAAAGCCCGGGGCCCAACCCCGGGAUGGCUGGGGAAACUGUGUGACUGGAGUACAGGAGGGGUAGGCGGAAUGCCUGGUGUAGCGGUGAAAUGCGUAGAUAUCAGGAGGAACUCCGACGGCGAAGGCAGCCUGCUGGACUGAAACUGACGUUGAGGCUCGAAAGCGUGGGGAGCAAACAGGAUUAGAUACCCGAGUAGUC
RNAcentral lists this ribosomal RNA (440 nucleotides) under uncultured bacterium. RNAcentral's name for it is "partial 16S ribosomal RNA". It matches the Rfam family "Bacterial small subunit ribosomal RNA", at positions 338 to 795 of the family's 1533-position model. The record is from RNAcentral.